RNAcentral lists this transfer RNA (93 nucleotides) under Firmicutes bacterium RBG_13_65_8. RNAcentral's name for it is "tRNA-Ser". It matches the Rfam family "tRNA". Rfam says of the family: Transfer RNA (tRNA) molecules are approximately 80 nucleotides in length. Their secondary structure includes four short double-helical elements and three loops (D, anti-codon, and T loops). Lineage: Bacteria; Bacillati; Bacillota. The record is from RNAcentral.
GGAGAGGUGGCUGAGCGGUUGAAGGCGCUCGCCUCGAAAGCGAGUAGGCGGCUAGACCCUGCCUCGCGGGUUCGAAUCCCGCCCUCUCCGCCA